RNAcentral lists this ribosomal RNA (459 nucleotides) under uncultured Rhodocyclaceae bacterium. Its description in RNAcentral is "bacterial SSU rRNA". It matches the Rfam family "Bacterial small subunit ribosomal RNA", at positions 923 to 1382 of the family's 1533-position model. Lineage: Bacteria; Pseudomonadati; Pseudomonadota; Betaproteobacteria; Rhodocyclales; Rhodocyclaceae. The record is from RNAcentral.
GCACAAGCGGUGGAUGAUGUGGAUUAAUUCGAUGCAACGCGAAAACCUUACCUACCCUUGACAUGUCCGGAAUCCCGAAGAGAUUUGGGAGUGCUCGCAAGAGAGCCGGAACACAGGUGCUGCAUGGCUGUCGUCAGCUCGUGUCGUGAGAUGUUGGGUUAAGUCCCGCAACGAGCGCAACCCUUGUCAUUAGUUGCCAUCAUUUGGUUGGGCACUCUAAUGAGACUGCCGGUGACAAACCGGAGGAAGGUGGGGAUGACGUCAAGUCCUCAUGGCCCUUAUGGGUAGGGCUUCACACGUCAUACAAUGGUCGGUACAGAGGGUUGCCAACCCGCGAGGGGGAGCUAAUCCCACAAAGCCGAUCGUAGUCCGGAUCGCAGUCUGCAACUCGACUGCGUGAAGUCGGAAUCGCUAGUAAUCGCGGAUCAGCAUGUCGCGGUGAAUACGUUCCCGGGUCUU